RNAcentral lists this ribosomal RNA (465 nucleotides) under uncultured bacterium. Its description in RNAcentral is "partial 16S ribosomal RNA". It matches the Rfam family "Bacterial small subunit ribosomal RNA", at positions 28 to 507 of the family's 1533-position model. The record is from RNAcentral.
GACGAACGCUGGCGGCGUGCUUAACACAUGCAAGUCGAACGGAAAGGCCCUGCUUGCAGGGUACUCGAGUGGCGAACGGGUGAGUAACACGUGGGUGAUCUGCCCUUCACUUCGGGAUAAGCCUGGGAAACUGGGUCUAAUACCGGAUAUGACCUUCCAUGUAGUGUGGGGGGUGGAAAGAUUUAUCGGUGUGGGAUGAGCCCGCGGCCUAUCAGCUUGUUGGUGGGGUAAUGGCCUACCAAGGCGUCGACGGGUAGCCGGCCUGAGAGGGUGGACGGCCACAUUGGGACUGAGAUACGGCCCAGACUCCUACGGGAGGCAGCAGUGGGGAAUAUUGCACAAUGGGCGGAAGCCUUAUGCAGCGACGCCGCGUGGGGGAUGACGGCCUUCGGGUUGUAAACCUCUUUCGACAGGGACGAAGCUUCGGUGACGGUACCUGUAGAAGAAGCACCGGCUAACUACGUG